AUACUUACUCGUCAGAGAAGAUACCAGGAUCACGAAGGAAGCUUUCCCAGGCGGUGCUCAUCCAUUGCACGCCAGAUGUGCUACCCUUGUGGUUCCCCACUUGUGGGAAACUGCAUAAUUCACGCUUUCCCUGAUGUUCUGCAUUUCA
Molecule: small nuclear RNA, 148 nt
Filed under: Loxodonta africana (African savanna elephant)
Lineage: Eukaryota; Metazoa; Chordata; Mammalia; Proboscidea; Elephantidae
Description: U1 spliceosomal RNA (ENSLAFG00000032786.1)
Source: RNAcentral